This 3086-nucleotide ribosomal RNA is filed under the name Salmonella enterica subsp. enterica serovar Typhimurium. Its description in RNAcentral is "bacterial LSU rRNA". It matches the Rfam family "Bacterial large subunit ribosomal RNA". The record is from RNAcentral. Lineage: Bacteria; Pseudomonadati; Pseudomonadota; Gammaproteobacteria; Enterobacterales; Enterobacteriaceae.
UUAAGCGACUAAGCGUACACGGUGGAUGCCCUGGCAGUCAGAGGCGAUGAAGGGCGUGCUAAUCUGCGAUAAGCGCCGGUAAGGUGAUAUGAACCGUUAUAACCGGCGAUACCCGAAUGGGGAAACCCAGUGUGACUCGUCACACUAUCAUUAACUGAAUCCAUAGGUUAAUGAGGCGAACCGGGGGAACUGAAACAUCUAAGUACCCCGAGGAAAAGAAAUCAACCGAGAUUCCCCCAGUAGCGGCGAGCGAACGGGGAGGAGCCCAGAGCCUGAAUCAGCAUGUGUGUUAGUGGAAGCGUCUGGAAAGGCGCGCGAUACAGGGUGACAGCCCCGUACACAAAAGCGCAUGUGCUGUGAGCUCGAUGAGUAGGGCGGGACACGUGGUAUCCUGUCUGAAUAUGGGGGGACCAUCCUCCAAGGCUAAAUACUCCUGACUGACCGAUAGUGAACCAGUACCGUGAGGGAAAGGCGAAAAGAACCCCGGCGAGGGGAGUGAAAAAGAACCUGAAACCGUGUACGUACAAGCAGUGGGAGCCCCACCACUAAGCCAGUGGUGAACUCCACAUCCGCAUCCUUUGCUGAGGAUACGGUUAACGGAGCGAAAGCGACGUUCAACCGCAAAACAAGCAGAGGGGGCUUAGUGGUGGGGUGACUGCGUACCUUUUGUAUAAUGGGUCAGCGACUUAUAUUCUGUAGCAAGGUUAACCGAAUAGGGGAGCCGGAGGGAAACCGAGUCUUAAUUGGGCGUUAAGUUGCAGGGUAUAGACCCGAAACCCGGUGAUCUAGCCAUGGGCAGGUUGAAGGUUGGGUAACACUAACUGGAGGACCGAACCGACUAAUGUUGAAAAAUUAGCGGAUGACCUGUGGCUGGGGGUGAAAGGCCAAUCAAACCGGGAGAUAGCUGGUUCUCCCCGAAAGCUAUUUAGGUAGCGCCUCGUGAAUUCAUCUCCGGGGGUAGAGCACUGUUUCGGCUAGGGGGCCAUCCCGGCUUACCAACCCGAUGCAAACUGCGAAUACCGGAGAAUGUUAUCACGGGAGACACACGGCGGGUGCUAACGUCCGUCGUGAAGAGGGAAACAACCCAGACCGCCAGCUAAGGUCCCAAAGUCAUGGUUAAGUGGGAAACGAUGUGGGAAGGCCCAGACAGCCAGGAUGUUGGCUUAGAAGCAGCCAUCAUUUAAAGAAAGCGUAAUAGCUCACUGGUCGAGUCGGCCUGCGCGGAAGAUGUAACGGGGCUAAACCAUGCACCGAAGCUGCGGCAGCGAACGUAUCACUUAAAGCGAUUCAGCGGGUUACGAUUGACGGAGCGAAGCGACGUCAAAGCGUAUACAAAGUCGAGUCGGUUUAAGGAUACGUUCGUUGGGUAGGGGAGCGUUCUGUAAGCCCGUGAAGGUGGCCUGUGAGGGUUGCUGGAGGUAUCAGAAGUGCGAAUGCUGACAUAAGUAACGAUAAAGCGGGUGAAAAGCCCGCUCGCCGGAAGACCAAGGGUUCCUGUCCAACGUUAAUCGGGGCAGGGUGAGUCGACCCCUAAGGCGAGGCCGAAAGGCGUAGUCGAUGGGAAACGGGUUAAUAUUCCCGUACUUGGUGUUACUGCGAAGGGGGGACGGAGAAGGCUAUGUUGGCCGGGCGACGGUUGUCCCGGUUUAAGCGUGUAGGUGUGUGUUCCAGGUAAAUCCGGUUCACUUUAACACUGAGGCGUGACGACGAGGCACUACGGUGCUGAAGCAACAAAUGCCCUGCUUCCAGGAAAAGCCUCUAAGCAUCAGGUAACACGAAAUCGUACCCCAAACCGACACAGGUGGUCAGGUAGAGAAUACCAAGGCGCUUGAGAGAACUCGGGUGAAGGAACUAGGCAAAAUGGUGCCGUAACUUCGGGAGAAGGCACGCUGACACGUAGGUGAAGUGAUUUACUCAUGGAGCUGAAGUCAGUCGAAGAUACCAGCUGGCUGCAACUGUUUAUUAAAAACACAGCACUGUGCAAACACGAAAGUGGACGUAUACGGUGUGACGCCUGCCCGGUGCCGGAAGGUUAAUUGAUGGGGUCAGCGCAAGCGAAGCUCCUGAUCGAAGCCCCGGUAAACGGCGGCCGUAACUAUAACGGUCCUAAGGUAGCGAAAUUCCUUGUCGGGUAAGUUCCGACCUGCACGAAUGGCGUAAUGAUGGCCAGGCUGUCUCCACCCGAGACUCAGUGAAAUUGAACUCGCUGUGAAGAUGCAGUGUACCCGCGGCAAGACGGAAAGACCCCGUGAACCUUUACUAUAGCUUGACACUGAACAUUGAGCCUUGAUGUGUAGGAUAGGUGGGAGGCUUUGAAGUGUGGACGCCAGUCUGCAUGGAGCCGACCUUGAAAUACCACCCUUUAAUGUUUGAUGUUCUAACGUGGACCCGUAAUCCGGGUUGCGGACAGUGUCUGGUGGGUAGUUUGACUGGGGCGGUCUCCUCCUAAAGAGUAACGGAGGAGCACGAAGGUUGGCUAAUCCUGGUCGGACAUCAGGAGGUUAGUGCAAUGGCAUAAGCCAGCUUGACUGCGAGCGUGACGGCGCGAGCAGGUGCGAAAGCAGGUCAUAGUGAUCCGGUGGUUCUGAAUGGAAGGGCCAUCGCUCAACGGAUAAAAGGUACUCCGGGGAUAACAGGCUGAUACCGCCCAAGAGUUCAUAUCGACGGCGGUGUUUGGCACCUCGAUGUCGGCUCAUCACAUCCUGGGGCUGAAGUAGGUCCCAAGGGUAUGGCUGUUCGCCAUUUAAAGUGGUACGCGAGCUGGGUUUAGAACGUCGUGAGACAGUUCGGUCCCUAUCUGCCGUGGGCGCUGGAGAACUGAGGGGGGCUGCUCCUAGUACGAGAGGACCGGAGUGGACGCAUCACUGGUGUUCGGGUUGUCAUGCCAAUGGCACUGCCCGGUAGCUAAAUGCGGAAGAGAUAAGUGCUGAAAGCAUCUAAGCACGAAACUUGCCCCGAGAUGAGUUCUCCCUGAGACUUAGAGUCUCCUGAAGGAACGUUGAAGACGACGACGUUGAUAGGCCGGGUGUGUAAGCGCAGCGAUGCGUUGAGCUAACCGGUACUAAUGAACCGUGAGGCUUAACCUU